This 443-nucleotide ribosomal RNA is filed under the name uncultured bacterium. RNAcentral describes it as "partial 16S ribosomal RNA". It matches the Rfam family "Bacterial small subunit ribosomal RNA", at positions 338 to 795 of the family's 1533-position model. The record is from RNAcentral.
CCUACGGGUGGCAGCAGUGGGGGAUAUUGGACAAUGGGGGGAACCCUGAUCCAGCGACGCCGCGUGAGUGAAGAAGUAUUUCGGUAUGUAAAGCUCUUUCAGCAGGGGAGAAAGAAAUGACGGUACCUGACCAAGAAGCCCCGGCUAACUACGUGCCACAAGCCGCGGUAAUACGGAGGGGGCAAGCGUUAUCCGGAAUUACUGGGUGUAAAGGGAGCGUAGACGGUUAAGUAAGUCUGGAGUGAAAGGCCGGGGCCCAACCCCGGGACUGCUAUGGAAACUAGUGGACUUGAGUGGAGGGGAGGUAAGCGGAAUUCCUGGUGUAGCGGUGAAAUGCGUAGAUAUUAGGAGGAACACCGGUGGCGAAGGCGGCUUACUGGACUGUAACUGACGUUGAGGCUCGAAAGCGUGGGGAGCAAACAGGAUUAGAUACCCUGGUAGUC